GAUGAACGCUAGCUACAGGCUUAACACAUGCAAGUCGAGGGGAAACGCCAUUGAAGCUUUCUUCGAUGGUCGUCGACCGGCGCACGGGUGAGUAACGCGUAUCCAACCUGCCUCUGACCCAGGGAUAACCCGUCGAAAGUCGGCCUAAUACCUUAUGCAGUCGUCGGAAGUCCUCUGAUGACGACGAAAGAUUUCAUCGGUGAGAGAUGGGGAUGCGUCUGAUUAGCUUGUUGGCGGGGUAACGGCCCACCAAGGCAACGAUCAGUAGGGGUUCUGAGAGGAAGGUCCCCCACAUUGGAACUGAGACACGGUCCAAACUCCUACGGGAGGCAGCAGUGAGGAAUAUUGGUCAAUGGGCGAGAGCCUGAACCAGCCAAGUAGCGUGCAGGAUGACGGCCCUAUGGGUUGUAAACUGCUUUUAUGCGGGGAUAAAGUGAGGGACGUGUCCUUCAUUGCAGGUACCGCAUGAAUAAGGACCGGCUAAUUCCGUG
Molecule: ribosomal RNA, 491 nt
Filed under: uncultured bacterium
Lineage: Bacteria
Description: partial 16S ribosomal RNA
Rfam family: Bacterial small subunit ribosomal RNA
Source: RNAcentral